Molecule: transfer RNA, 89 nt
Filed under: Persicimonas caeni
Lineage: Bacteria; Deltaproteobacteria; Bradymonadales; Bradymonadaceae
Rfam family: tRNA
About the family: Transfer RNA (tRNA) molecules are approximately 80 nucleotides in length. Their secondary structure includes four short double-helical elements and three loops (D, anti-codon, and T loops).
Source: Rfam by way of RNAcentral
GGAGAGGUGGCCGAGUGGCUGAAGGCGCUCCCCUGCUAAGGGAGUAUACGGCUUAAACCGUAUCGAGGGUUCGAAUCCCUCCCUCUCCG